UCCGGGUUGGACCCGGCGGUCCCGCCAGACCUGGUAACUGGCGGCGGGGGUUGCGCUCGUUGCGGGACUUAACCCAACACCUCACGGCACGAGCUGACGACAGCCGUGCAGCACCUGUGUCGGCUCCCCUUGCGGGGUCGGGCCCCUUUCGGUUUCCUACCACCGACAUGUCAAACCCAGGUAAGGUUCUUCGCGUUGCCUCGAAUUAAGCCACAUGCUCCGCCGCUUGUGCGGGCCCCCGUCAAUUCCUUUGAGUUUUAGCCUUGCGGCCGUACUCCCCAGGCGGGGCGCUUAAUGCGUUAGCUGCGGCACGGAUCCCGUGGAAGGGAACCCACACCUAGCACCCAUCGUUUACGGCGUGGACUAC
Molecule: unclassified non-coding RNA, 367 nt
Filed under: uncultured Actinomycetes bacterium
Lineage: Bacteria; Bacillati; Actinomycetota; Actinomycetes
Description: uncultured actinobacterium contains 16S-23S intergenic spacer region
Source: RNAcentral